AGCAGGAAGUAGUGUUCUGUCUUUUAACUCUUUUAAAAGACCUGUCCUGCAUUUUUUCUAUGCCCAAGCUGGUUCCAGUUUACUGAUCCUGCCUAAGCUUUAAUACUAUUUUUUGAAUUCCUGGUUUUUGACUCUUUUGCCUGAAUAUUCUCAAAUACGAUUUCUGCCGCCUGCCUUGAACCUUUUGCCAAACUUCGACUACUUUUUUUCUUCAACCCUGCCGGUAUCUCGCUUACGAUUUUUUCCACACACUUCCUUGUUGGAUUCCGCAGCAGAAAGCCCGGGGCCCCAAAAGGGCGUCUGUGAACACAGGGUUCACCUGUGCGUCCGCAAGGAUCCUGUGCAGUGUGUGUGUGUGGGAAAAAUCUUCUGGGUGGUAUUCAAAUGUACUUACCUGCCAGCCACUAACAGUCUACUAGUUUCAUGCAGAGGUGGCAAGUUACAAUAUAACAGGCUGUUACCCCAUAACUUGUAGCAUCUGUACACCCAGAAAUAGAAAAAGAAAUUUGGAUUAUUUGAAUAUAAUGGAGAAUAAUAUUGGUUUCCUCCCAUAUUCAAAAAGCAUACAGUCAAGCUGGAUGGUCAGAUCUUCAGGAAAAGACACCUCCUUUGUUUUGUCUUUCAACGUUAAGCCCUUCAUCUUCAAAUGGCAGACAGCAACUCCAACUUCUCUGAGAGAUCUGUCCACACUCAGGUAGCACAGUGUCCUGCUCAAAGAGAUCUUCCUUACAUUCUCAUCAGAAUUAAAAACCUUUUCACAGGACAAUGUCACUGUGCAAUGUGAGCUGGACCAGUGGAAUGGAGUGUCUGCCUGUUCUUUCAAAACACUCCAGCUCUCCAGGACAUGACAGCAAAAUUCUUUGAACAGAAGAAACAUUUUCUGUUUAACAGCACAUUCUCUAUAACUUAUCCUACUGGGCAGAGAUUAAAGGCAAAAAAAUGUUUCCACUGUUUCCUUUGGUCACUUGAUCACAUACAUGACUUUACAAGGAUUUUUUUACCAUUUAGGCAGUUUUUACUUGGACAAAAAGGCUGGAACUGAUGGAUGUAUCAGUGACCUCACUUGCUAUGUUACUAUGGAAUAAUUACAUAUGUAACCUGAUAUUAGGCCUUAAUGGUGGCCUAUUUAUCCAUAGGAGCUCUAUGAAAGCAACGCUAGGAUUGAAUUUAUACAAUGUUGUCAAGCAGUGCUGCUUGACAAACACUCAACUUUGCACAGC
This is a long non-coding RNA of Xenopus laevis (African clawed frog), 1220 nucleotides long. RefSeq lists it as uncharacterized. NCBI's taxonomy places the organism in Eukaryota, Metazoa, Chordata, Amphibia, Anura, Pipidae. The transcript is spliced from 5 exons. The record is from RefSeq and is a predicted model, not a curated record.